Molecule: ribosomal RNA, 981 nt
Filed under: uncultured cyanobacterium
Lineage: Bacteria; Bacillati; Cyanobacteriota
Description: bacterial SSU rRNA
Rfam family: Bacterial small subunit ribosomal RNA
Source: RNAcentral
GCGAAGCCUGACGGAGCAAUACCGCGUGAGGGAGGAAGGCUUUUGGGUUGUAAACCUCUUUUCUCAGGGAAGAAAAAAAUGACGGUACCUGAGGAAUAAGCAUCGGCUAACUCCGUGCCAGCAGCCGCGGUAAUACGGAGGAUGCAAGCGUUAUCCGGAAUGAUUGGGCGUAAAGGGUCCGCAGGUGGCUAUGUAAGUCUGCUGUUAAAGAAUGUGGCUUAACCUCAUCAGAGCGGUGGAAACUACACAGCUAGAGUGCGUUCGGGGUAGAGGGAAUUCCUGGUGUAGCGGUGAAAUGCGUAGAUAUCAGGAAGAACACCAGUGGCGAAAGCGCUCUACUAGGCCGCAACUGACACUGAGGGACGAAAGCUAGGGGAGCGAAUGGGAUUAGAUACCCCAGUAGUCCUAGCCGUAAACGAUGGAUACUAGGCGUGGCUUGUAUCGACCCGAGCCGUGCCGGAGCUAACGCGUUAAGUAUCCCGCCUGGGGAGUACGCACGCAAGUGUGAAACUCAAAGGAAUUGACGGGGGCCCGCACAAGCGGUGGAGUAUGUGGUUUAAUUCGAUGCAACGCGAAGAACCUUACCAAGACUUGACAUGUCGCGAAUCCUGCCGAAAGGUGGGAGUGCUUUCGGGAGCGCGAACACAGGUGGUGCAUGGCUGUCGUCAGCUCGUGUCGUGAGAUGUUGGGUUAAGUCCCGCAGCGAGCGCAACCCUCGUUUUUAGUUGCCAGCAUGAAGAUGGGCACUCUAGAGAGACUGCCGGUGACAAACCGGAGGAAGGUGGGGAUGACGUCAAGUCAGCAUGCCCCUUACGUCUUGGGCUACACACGUACUACAAUGCUACGGACAAAGGGCAGCGACACAGCGAUGUGAAGCAAAUCUCAUAAACCGUAGCUCAGUUCAGAUCGCAGGCCGCAACUCGCCUGCGUGAAGUAGGAAUCGCUAGUAAUUGCAGGUCAGCACACUGCAGUGAAUUCGUU